Molecule: ribosomal RNA, 459 nt
Filed under: uncultured bacterium
Lineage: Bacteria
Description: bacterial SSU rRNA
Rfam family: Bacterial small subunit ribosomal RNA
Source: RNAcentral
GACGAACGCUGGCGGCGUGCCUAACACAUGCAAGUCAACUUGACUGAAGGAGCAAUCUGACAGUAGAGUGGCGCAAGGGUGCGUAACGCGUAAGUAACUUGCCCCAAGGUAAGGAAUAACGUCGAGAAAUCGGCGCUAAAGACCUCAUAAUGCAGCGGAUCCGCAUGGAUAUGUUGUUAAAGGUUUACCGCCUUGGGAUAGGCUUGCGUCUGAUUAGCUAGUUGGUGUGGUAAACGGCACACCAAGGCUACGAUCAGUAACUGGUCUGAGAGGAUGAUCAGUCACACUGGAACUGAGACACGGUCCAGACUCCUACGGGAGGCAGCAGUGAGGAAUAUUGGGCAAUGCUCGAAAGAGUGACCCAGCAACGCCGCGUGGAGGAUGAAGGUAUUCUAUAUCGUAAACUCCUGUGAGAGCAGACGAAAGACAAGAUUAUUAAAUCUGGAUGACUGUAUGCUC